AGCUACUUAGCACUGCAUAGUGAACAAUCCCAAAUUUAAUAUGUCAAGGUAGUCCAGCUUCUCAGACAUACAGCUUGAGUAAUUAUGGUGAAAGUGAGCCAGAAGUGUUUUCUAGUAAUCUCUAGGACUUCUUCUUGCUCAAGAAUUCUACAAUGCUGUAUAGGAAGGAAGUCAGG
Echinops telfairi (small Madagascar hedgehog) is the source of this 176-nucleotide long non-coding RNA. RefSeq lists it as uncharacterized. Lineage: Eukaryota; Metazoa; Chordata; Mammalia; Afrosoricida; Tenrecidae. The transcript has 3 exons. The record is from RefSeq and is a predicted model, not a curated record.